Molecule: ribosomal RNA, 253 nt
Filed under: uncultured bacterium
Lineage: Bacteria
Description: partial 16S ribosomal RNA
Rfam family: Bacterial small subunit ribosomal RNA
Source: RNAcentral
UACGGAGGGUGCAAGCGUUGCUCGGAAUUAUUGGGCGUAAAGGGUAGGUAGGUGGUCUCAUUUGUCUGGGGUGAAAGCCUUGAGCUUAACUCAAGAAGUGCCCCGGAAACGGUGAGACUGGAGUCCUGGAGAGGGUCGUGGAAUUCCCGGUGUAGCGGUGAAAUGCGUAGAGAUCGGGAGGAACACCAGAGGCGAAGGCGGCGACCUGGACAGGUACUGACACUCAACUACGAAAGCGUGGGGAGCAAACAGG